CUGGUUGAUCCUGCCAGUAGCAUAUGCUUGUCUCAAAGAUUAAGCCAUGCAUGUCUAAGUACAAGCCGCUAGUACGGCGAAACCGCGAAUGGCUCAAUAAAUCAGUUAUGGUUCCUUAGAACAGUUCAAUCCUACUUGGAUAACUGUGGUAAUUCUAGAGCUAAUACAUGCACCCAAGCCCCGACUCGGGACGCAAGUCUCGAGGAAGGGCGCUUUUAUUAGAUCAAAACCAGUCGAGAGCUUCGGUUCUCGUUAAGUUUGGUGACUCUGGAUAACUUCACGCUGAUCGCACGGUCUUUGC
RNAcentral lists this ribosomal RNA (301 nucleotides) under uncultured eukaryote. Its description in RNAcentral is "SSU rRNA". It matches the Rfam family "Eukaryotic small subunit ribosomal RNA", at positions 4 to 283 of the family's 1831-position model. The record is from RNAcentral.